Molecule: ribosomal RNA, 429 nt
Filed under: Bacteroidota bacterium
Lineage: Bacteria; Pseudomonadati; Bacteroidota
Description: Bacteroidetes bacterium partial 16S ribosomal RNA
Rfam family: Bacterial small subunit ribosomal RNA
Source: RNAcentral
UAGGGAAUCUUCCGCAAUGGACGCAAGUCUGACGGAGCAACGCCGCGUGAGUGAAGAAGGAUUUCGGUUCGUAAAACUCUGUUGUUAGAGAAGAACAGCGCAUAGAGUAACUGUUAUGCGUGUGACGGUAUCUAACCAGAAAGCCACGGCUAACUACGUGCCAGCAGCCGCGGUAAUACGUAGGUGGCAAGCGUUAUCCGGAUUUACUGGGUGUAAAGGGAGCGUAGGCGGCAGUACAAGUCGGGAGUGAAAACUCGGGGCUCAACCCCGAGACUGCUCUCGAAACUGUACAGCUAGAGUGCAGGAAGGGCAGGCGGAAUUCCUGGUGUAGCGGUGAAAUGCGUAGAUAUCAGGAGGAACACCGGUGGCGAAGGCGGCCUGCUGGACUGUAACUGACGCUGAGGCUCGAAAGCGUGGGGAGCGAACAGG